GGAGGGUGCGAGCGUUGUCCGGAAUCACUGGGCGUAAAGGGCGCGUAGGUGGCGCGGCAAGUCAACGGUGAAAGCUCGACGCUCAACGUCGAGUCGGCCGUCGAUACUGCCGCGCUCGAGCACUGUAGAGGCAGAUGGAAUUCCGGGUGUAGCGGUGGAAUGCGUAGAGAUCCGGAAGAACACCGGUGGCGAAGGCGGUCUGCUGGGCAGUUGCUGACACUGAGGCGCGACAGCGUGGGGAGCAAACAGGAUUAGAUACCCUGGUAGUCCACGCCGUAAACGAUGGGCACUAGGUGCUUGGGGGAGCGACCCUCUGAGUGCCGACGCUAACGCAUUAAGUGCCCCGCCUGGGGAGUACGGCCGCAAGGCUG
RNAcentral lists this ribosomal RNA (371 nucleotides) under uncultured bacterium. Its description in RNAcentral is "bacterial SSU rRNA". It matches the Rfam family "Bacterial small subunit ribosomal RNA", at positions 527 to 896 of the family's 1533-position model. The record is from RNAcentral.